GAUGAACGCUAGCGGCAGGCUUAAUACAUGCAAGUCGAGGGGCAGCAGCUUUGUAGCAAUACAGGGGCUGGCGACCGGCAAACGGGUGCGGAACACGUACGCAACCUUCCUUUAACUGGAAGAUAGCCCACCGAAAGGUGGAUUAAUACUCCAUAACAUAUUGAAGAGGCAUCUCUUUGAUAUUAAAGCUCCGGCGGUUAAAGAUGGGCGUGCGUCUGAUUAGGUAGUUGGCGGGGUAACGGCCCACCAAGCCUUCGAUCAGUAGCUGAUGUGAGAGCAUGAUCAGCCACACGGGCACUGAGACACGGGCCCGACUCCUACGGGAGGCAGCAGUAAGGAAUAUUGGUCAAUGGACGCGAGUCUGACCAGCCAUGCCGCGUGGAGGAUGAAGGCCCUCUGGGUUGUAAACGUUCUUUCUUUGGGACGAAACCCUGUUCUACGGGGACUGACGGUACCAGAGGAAUAAGCACCGGCUAACUCCGUGCCAGCAGCCGC
RNAcentral lists this ribosomal RNA (495 nucleotides) under uncultured bacterium. RNAcentral describes it as "bacterial SSU rRNA". It matches the Rfam family "Bacterial small subunit ribosomal RNA", at positions 28 to 518 of the family's 1533-position model. The record is from RNAcentral.